Molecule: microRNA, 25 nt
Filed under: Tribolium castaneum (red flour beetle)
Lineage: Eukaryota; Metazoa; Arthropoda; Insecta; Coleoptera; Tenebrionidae
Description: Tca-Mir-11619-P4_5p* (star (passenger))
Source: RNAcentral
UGAGAGUUUGCGAUAAUCUUCAUUU